RNAcentral lists this ribosomal RNA (253 nucleotides) under uncultured bacterium. RNAcentral's name for it is "partial 16S ribosomal RNA". It matches the Rfam family "Bacterial small subunit ribosomal RNA", at positions 524 to 776 of the family's 1533-position model. The record is from RNAcentral.
UACAGAGGUCCCGAGCGUUGUUCGGAUUUAUUGGGCGUAAAGGGUGCGUAGGCGGCGGGGUAAGUUGGGUGUGAAAUCCCGGGGCUCAACCUCGGAAUGGCAUUCAAUACUGCUUCGCUAGAGUACUGGAGAGGAGGCUGGAAUUUACGGUGUAGCAGUGAAAUGCGUAGAUAUCUGGAGGAAUACCGGUGGCGAAGGCGGCAUCCUGGACCGGCAUUGACGCUGAGGCGCGAAAGCGUGGGGAGCAAACGGG